AACGAAUGCUGGCGGCAGGCCUUACACAUGCAAGUCGAACGUGAAAGUCCUUCGGGAUGAGUAAAGUGGCGCACGGGUGAGUAACGCGUGGGAACAUGCCCUUCAGUACGGGAUAACAGCGGGAAACUGCUGCUAAUACCGUAUAUUCCCUACGGGGGAAAGAUUUAUCGUUGAAGGAUUGGCCCGCGUUAGAUUAGCUAGUUGGUGAGGUAAUGGCUCACCAAGGCGACGAUCUAUAGCCGGUCUGAGAGGACGAUCGGCCACACUGGAACUGAGACCCGGUCCAGACUCCUACGUGAGGCAGCAGUGGGGAAUAUUGGACAAUGGCCGAAAGCCUGAUCCAGCCAUGCCGCGUGAGUGAUGAAGGCCUUAGGGUUGUAAAGCUCUUUUGGCGGGGAAGAUAAUGACGGUACCCGCAGAAUAAGCCCCGGCUAACUUCAUGCCAGCCGCCGCCGUAA
This 458-nucleotide ribosomal RNA is filed under the name uncultured bacterium. Its description in RNAcentral is "partial 16S ribosomal RNA". It matches the Rfam family "Bacterial small subunit ribosomal RNA", at positions 29 to 523 of the family's 1533-position model. The record is from RNAcentral.